CCAAAUUUUGGGGUUUUGUUCCACAGGGAGAACCCAAAUAGUGAGGAUUCUGCUGGUCCAGGAAGGGCAGGAGAAAAUCCUCACCAAAUUUUGGGGUUUCUGCCCCACAGCGAGAACCCAGCUGGGCCAGGGAGGGCAGGAGCAACUCCUGACCAAAUUUUGGGGUUUUGUUCCACAGGAAGAACCCAAAUUGUGAGGGUUGUGCUGCUCCAGGAAGGGCAGGAGCAAUUCCUGACCAAAUUUUGGGGUUUCUGUUCCAAAGGGAGAACCCAAUUACUGAGGGUUGUUCUGGUCCAGGAGUUCCUGACCAAAGUUCCUGCCCAAAUUUUGGGGUUUCUGCUCCACAGGAAGAACCCAAAUAGUGAGGGUUGUUCUGCUCCAGGAAGAGCAGGGGAAAAUCCUGACCAAAUGUUGGGGUUUCUGCCCCACAAGGAGGACCCAGCAACUCCUGACCAAAUUUUGAGGUUUCUGCUCCACAGGGGAAUGAGGAUUGUGCUGGUCCAGGAAGGGCAGGAGCAAUUCCUGACCAAAUUUUGGGGUUUCACGGGGGACCGAGGGUUGUGCUGCUCCAGGAAGGGCAGGGGAAAAUCCUGACCAAAUUUUGGGGUUUCUGCUCCAGGAGCAACUCCUGAGGGGGGAAAGGUGCAGAAAGUUAAAAAAUCCCCCUGGCAGCCCAGGCCAGAGGAGGAAGUGCUCAAAAUUAGAAAAAAAA
This 712-nucleotide long non-coding RNA is filed under the name Zonotrichia albicollis (white-throated sparrow). RNAcentral's name for it is "lncRNA (ENSZALG00000011717.1)". The record is from RNAcentral. Lineage: Eukaryota; Metazoa; Chordata; Aves; Passeriformes; Passerellidae.